AAUGAACGCUGGCGGCGUGCCUAACACAUGCAAGUCGUACGAGAAAGGGGCUUCGGCCCUGAGUAGAGUGGCGCACGGGUGAGUAACGCGUGGGUAAUCUGCCCUUGGAUUUGGAAUAACUCCGCGAAAGUGGAGCUAAUACCGGAUGGUCUGGCUUUUUAACGAAGUCGGUAAAGGAUGCCUCUGCAUAUGCAUUCGUCCGAGGAUGAGCCCGCGUCUCAUUAGCUAGUUGGUAGGGUAAUGGCCUACCAAGGCAACGAUGAGUAGCUGGUCUGAGAGGAUGAUCAGCCACACUGGAACUGAAACACGGUCCAGACUCCUACGGGAGGCAGCAGUGGGGAAUAUUGCGCAAUGGGCGAAAGCCUGACGCAGCAACGCCGUGUGAGGGAUGAAGGCUUUCGGGUCGUAAACCUCUGUCAGAAGGGAAGAACGGAUGUUGGUCUGAUAGGCCUUCAUUUUGACGGUACCUUCAGAGGAAGCACCGGCUAACUCCGUGCCAGCCGCCGCCGUAA
Molecule: ribosomal RNA, 512 nt
Filed under: uncultured bacterium
Lineage: Bacteria
Description: partial 16S ribosomal RNA
Rfam family: Bacterial small subunit ribosomal RNA
Source: RNAcentral